Molecule: long non-coding RNA, 406 nt
Filed under: Homo sapiens (human)
Lineage: Eukaryota; Metazoa; Chordata; Mammalia; Primates; Hominidae
Description: long independently transcribed non-coding RNA 2862 (LINC02862)
Source: RNAcentral
ACAGGUGAAAGAUCUUGAUACCACACAGGUAUAAUUACAAUCUGCAAACCUACUCAAGGGGAGUUGCAGGUGAAGAUAAGGAAGUCAGCCUCAUUCCAUUACCUAAUCAGAUUCUCAGCCAAAGACAAACAGCAACAUAUGGGACUUUAAGGGUCUUGCUCUGUCACCCAGGCUGGAGUUCACUGGCAUGAUCAUGGCUCACUGCAGCCUCCAUCUCCUGGACUCAGAGACGGAGCUUCACCAUGUUGCCCAGGCUGGUCUUGAACAUCUGGACUCAAGUUAUCUGUCACCUUGGCCUCCCAAAGUGCUGGGAUUACAGGCAUGAGCCACAGCACCUUGCUUAUUCUUUUGUUUGCUAUUAAAAUAUAAGCAUUUUCUAGUCAAUAAAAAUUAACCAAGAACAUAA